UAUUUGGUUAAUCAAACAUUAUACUACCGUUUGGCUUAAUUGCGACCACGCUGGGAAGUUAAAGUUCUCCCUACCUAGCCAUUGAUACAAGGUGAAUUGGGCGUAUUUUUAUUGGCCAAGGUAGCUAAUCAAUUAGGGAUCAAUUUGUGACGAUGGCAACUUCAUUGACAGGUUUGCACCCGCAACUGCGUGAUUGGACUGGAGGGUGAGGCUCAGUUAUGGAAUUAUGGACGUUGCUUUGGCCACACCACCAGUCCAGCUCGCUACCUCCUCCCCCAGUGGGAUGGUGCUGCAUGACAGGGAGGCCUUGGCGCCGUAGCCCCCUCUCCUGGAUCCUGCCCGCCCCACCACCACCCCCCUCAGAGCGGAUGACCACCACCACAGCAGCCCCCCCCAUGAGUCACCCUCUGGAGCCCUAGAUCAAGUAACUGUGACCCCCUUCUUCCCCUUAUAUAUACUGUACCUCAAUUGCAUCCCCUGGUUCCGGUCUAUGUUUUUGCUACAUAGGCGAGGUUCCUUGCCUGUCCCCUUAACUAGCUUUCUCUGGAUAAAGGCCCGGUUUAUCAUGAAUUCAUAGACAUAUUGGAUUGAUUUAUCAAUUAGCUUAUUCAUCUAACCCUCUUCAACUCUUCCCCCCCUACAGUGUGUUGAAAGAGUGAAUAUUAAUACUUCAAAAUGUCCUCAGUAUGAUCUUUUUUUUCUAGCAGUGAUCAUUAGGAAGUUGAUAGAACAAUAUUGCAGAAACCUGACUAUAGACUGACUUAGUCACUGUUAUAUUGUUUACACCCUAGUAGCCAGUCCUUACAGAUGAGUAAGGGGGACAAAGAGAGACAGGUCAGGUCAUUGUGCUGCUAAACCCCUUGUCCAUACAGGGAGUGUUCAGUGCAGGAACAACACAACACAGAUGAGGCUUGUAUCUAUCUAUAUAUGCUGCUGCCUGUCACAUGUAAUCACAUUACUGUAGCACAGAAUCAACCAAACUAGGAUAUGCUGAUAGGAGUCAUGCUCCAUACAGGAUAGGAAAUAAACCUUUUUGCAAUGGCAUUUUUUUGGACUUCGUGAACUCAUUUUUGGAGGCAUUUCCAGG
Molecule: long non-coding RNA, 1087 nt
Filed under: Salmo trutta (river trout)
Lineage: Eukaryota; Metazoa; Chordata; Actinopteri; Salmoniformes; Salmonidae
Description: lncRNA (ENSSTUG00000007954.1)
Source: RNAcentral